UUGAAAGGGAAACGAUUGAAGUCAGUCGUGCUGGCGCGAAAUCAAUCUUCUCGUCUUGAGAUCACAUGGCGUGGCGAGCCUCAAAACCGUCACGAAGCGUGAACUCUUGGUGAAAUGGAGCACUUUCGUGUCCGCUGGUUAACAUCAAUUUCGAACGUCAUAAAAAGGCUGGAGGGAUGUGGCUCCUUCGGGAGUGUUAUAACCUUUAGCGGAAUGUGGUGUUCGGGAUUGAGGAUUGCAACGAAUACCUUUAGGGCUGUUCCACCUGGCUUCUCUUUGGUAUCCUGGUGACGACAGCUUGCUGACGUCGUUAGGAUUCGCCUUUGAACAGGUUAGAGUGUGAGCAAAUUCGUUAAGGAUGUUGACGUA
RNAcentral lists this ribosomal RNA (369 nucleotides) under uncultured Glomeromycotina. RNAcentral's name for it is "LSU rRNA". The record is from RNAcentral. Lineage: Eukaryota; Fungi; Glomeromycota.